Molecule: transfer RNA, 65 nt
Filed under: Staphylinidae sp. BMNH 1274234
Lineage: Eukaryota; Metazoa; Arthropoda; Insecta; Coleoptera; Staphylinidae
Description: tRNA-Asp
Source: RNAcentral
AAGGAUUUAGUUAAACUUAUAACAUUAGCUUGUCAAACUAAAAUUAUUAAAUAUAAUAUUCCUUA